UACGUAGGGACCAAGCGUUGUUCGGAUUUACUGGGCGUAAAGGGCGCGUAGGCGGCAAUUCAAGUCAGCUGUGAAAUCUCCGGGCUUAACUCGGAACGGUCAGCUGAUACUGCUUUGCUAGAGUGCAGAAGGGGCAACUGGAAUUCUUGGUGUAGCGGUGAAAUGCGUAGAUAUCAAGAGGAACACCUGAGGCGAAGGCGGGUUGCUGGGCUGACACUGACGCUGAGGCGCGAAAGCUAGGGGAGCAAACAGG
Molecule: ribosomal RNA, 253 nt
Filed under: uncultured bacterium
Lineage: Bacteria
Description: partial 16S ribosomal RNA
Rfam family: Bacterial small subunit ribosomal RNA
Source: RNAcentral